This 2196-nucleotide long non-coding RNA is filed under the name Olea europaea (common olive). Its description in RNAcentral is "long non-coding RNA (OEUR_LNC008255)". The record is from RNAcentral. Lineage: Eukaryota; Viridiplantae; Streptophyta; Magnoliopsida; Lamiales; Oleaceae.
UUAUAUACUUUUAUAAUUUUUAUUGUCUAACUAAAAGUAAAGGACGCAGAUUUCAGUUACUGUUCACAAGUUGUUGGCUCAACCAUUUUUGGAUUGAGAGUUUGCUGAGCUACUUGGAAAUAAGCUGAAUUUUUAGACGACGGCGUAUUGUGUAAUUAAAAGAUGAUAAGUGUUCCUUCUGUUUCUGGAAUAUUCAUUUCGUCUCUAGUUUUCUCUUUGUUUUUAGAUCUAAUUUUCAUUUUCAACAAAUCUUCAAAUUUUGGUUAUGGACUGAUGUUUAGCAAAAUCUGAGAGUUAGCAACGGUGGCAACUUCCACUUCGACAGGACAAUCACCAUCUCCUCCCACCAAAUUCACCCACUUCUCUGCCUCGGGUUUUUAGAUACACUUGUUCUGUAGAAAAAUUCAAGGUGUUAGAUCUAAAGCUUUUUGUUUGUGCUGAUAAAUUUUGCAAUUUGUGCUCAAUGUUUUGUUGACUUAUGGAAGUUGGUAGUGUUUCAUGGGAUUUUAGUUGGCUAAAGGUACCACUUCAAUGACUAGAAGCCCUAAAUUUUCUUAGAAUUGUUUCAUGACUUCGCAAAACAAAAUAAAAUUCAUUUAUUACUGGGUUUCAGUUUUGCUUCACUUUAUUGAUGCUUUAAAACAUCCUGAUUAAAAUAGUGUGUUUUCGUUCCAAUAUUUUGAUUCUGCUUGAAAGGCUCUUUUCUUGAUAUGUGAGCAUCAAUUUUUAUGCUUUGCAGCCUAUCUGGAGGAUUCUGCAAGCGUGCAAGCCAGGCUGUAAGAAAAUGAAAACAGUAAGAACUAGAUAACAUAAUUCUUCUUCUUAAAUCUUUUAUAUGACUUAAAUCUAUACUGUUUCAUUAUCACCACAAAAAACAAAAGCAAAAAAAUUCAAAAGCAAUUAAUUUUAUAUAAUUCAAGUAUUUCCAUACCAUAUAUUGCUUUCUAUUCUUUAUUUGUGUCAUUUGAUUUUUGAUAAUUUUAAAAUUCGCCAAAAGGGAUUGUUAUUAGGUUUCACAACCUUAUGUUAAUCAUAUUAUCCUUGUAGUGUACGCCAUAAAAAGGAGUUGAAGUGAGUUUUUUCUUGUUGAGAUGAGCCAAUUACUGGUAGAUUUAUACGUGUCGUUGUGUAUGUAUUUUCACUGUUUCUAUAAUAUAUCUCUAAAAACAUAGGAUUUGACUUUUGAAAAUAGAGAGGAUUCUCCAUCUGUCUCAAAAAUUGGGCUGACUUAUUCAGCAAGCGAUCGUGUUCUUCCCAUCUGCAAUAACUGCUCGAUUCUACAAACAAGGAUCUGUUUAAUUCCGAAGGAAAAUUUAGAGAUUAAGAAAGGCAACUGCAGAUAAUUAUGGGGGACAUAUGGCUUUUCAGUGACAAUCCCCUGCUGUUCAUCUAGCAAAAGGAAGGAAUGGCCACACAAAUGGAUAUUCUGAGAUCGAAAGCAAUCUCGACUCUUAAGAAAAAGGGUGGGGAAAUUGGGAUAUAACAUUGAAACGUUAAGAAGGGAAGCGAGUGGGUUAAAGGAAGUAAUAAUCCGAAAACUCGAAACUUUUGGGCCGUCUUAUCUUCUAUAAAUUCAAAAUAAUAGAAAUUUCAAACAUCUGUUUUUUACGUGUGAUAAAGAUUAAGAAGAAAAGUAGAUAUUAUGGUAUCUUGUUAAUAUAUAACUAAGAAAAACAUUUUGAAAACAAAAUCAAAGAUAGUUAUUUUUAAAAGUGAAAAUUUGUGUCUUUGUAUUAAUUUUCAUGCUAUUAUACUUAUUCAAGACAUCUUUCGGUAAGCUUCCAAGAUUGAGCUUCUUUGUUCAUCUUGUGGAAUUAAUUGAUGACUGUAGGUGUUUGGUCAAGAAUGCUUGUUUGGUUUUACCGUUCUUGAUUAAUCUUCAGCUUCAAUUGAUUUUCAUGAUUUUGGUUUUUUUUUUUUUUUUUUUUUUCCCUCAGCAAAAAGAAAGAACAUUUUUGUUUGUUCUGAUUAUAUGUCAUAAUUUAUUGUAUCUAUUUAAUGAGCUAAACCAUGUGGUAUUUCCUAAUUGUUUCUAUGCACAACUGAAAAACAAUGCAAUUUCGUUCUUCACAUGUCCUAUUACUAAAUAGUAUUUGAUCCAUUUCACUUCGCUUGCACUUUAGCGACAUGAGUUUUUGUUGACUUCCUCGAAGUGAGAUGCGUUUGAUGUUACAGGUGCCUUCCAGAAUUUCAGGG